This 106-nucleotide small RNA is filed under the name Marmota monax (woodchuck). Lineage: Eukaryota; Metazoa; Chordata; Mammalia; Rodentia; Sciuridae. The record is from RNAcentral.
GCUGGCCACAGUGGUGCAUGCCUGUAAUCUCAGCAAUGGGGAGGCUGAGGCAGGAGGAUAACAAGUUCUAGGCCAGCCUCAGCAAUUUAGUGAGAACCUGUCUCAU